RNAcentral lists this long non-coding RNA (375 nucleotides) under Physcomitrium patens. RNAcentral describes it as "long non-coding RNA (PPAT_LNC002602)". The record is from RNAcentral. Lineage: Eukaryota; Viridiplantae; Streptophyta; Bryopsida; Funariales; Funariaceae.
GCAUCCUCGUUUUCUUGAACAAACGCAUCCCUAGUCUUGACAAUAUGUCGAUUUUUUUUUCUUGGGGCAGUUUCCAACUUUGUGGCCUUCUUCACCGCAAUACAAGCAUAGCCCUUUCCCAUACAUUGCUUUUUUUCUUCUAGGGUAAGGAAUUUGACACGUACCGCAUCAAUUUGCAUGUCUUCUACCUCUGAAUGUGAAUUUGCACUGCUUGCCGACAUAGUUGGAGUUUGGCGAUCCGUAUGUUGUCUUGAACGUUGGUCUUGGCGACGUUGGAAUAGGCGAUUAUUGUACUUCACAACUUGGCUAAUAGCUUCAUUGAGCGUUUAUGGAUCAGGAAGAGUUAACAACAAAUCCUUCAAAUCAUCCCUUAAA